AGCAAUUAGAGAAGCUCCCU
This 20-nucleotide small nuclear RNA is filed under the name Arabidopsis thaliana (thale cress). Its description in RNAcentral is "snRNA_01009". The record is from RNAcentral. Lineage: Eukaryota; Viridiplantae; Streptophyta; Magnoliopsida; Brassicales; Brassicaceae.